This 418-nucleotide ribosomal RNA is filed under the name uncultured bacterium. RNAcentral's name for it is "bacterial SSU rRNA". It matches the Rfam family "Bacterial small subunit ribosomal RNA", at positions 362 to 773 of the family's 1533-position model. The record is from RNAcentral.
UUUUGGACGAUGGGGGCAACCCUGAUCCAGCAAUGCCGCGUGUGUGAAGAAGGCCUGCGGGUUGUAAAGCACUUUCAGAGGGGAAGAAAAAAUCGGAUCUAACACAUCCGAGCUUGACGUUACCCUUAGAAGAGGCACCGGCUAACUACGUGCCAGCAGCCGCGGUAAUACGUAGGUGGCAAGCGUUGUCCGGAUUUACUGGGCGUAAAGAGCGCGCAGGCGGUCGAUUAAGUCGAGUGUGAAAGCCCCCGGCUCAACUGGGGAGGGUCAUUUGAUACUGGUCGACUCGAAGGCAGGAGAGGGAAGUGGAAUUCCCGGUGUAGUGGUGAAAUGCGUAGAUAUCGGGAGGAACACCAGUGGCGAAGGCGACUUCCUGGCCUGUUCUUGACGCUGAGGCGCGAAAGCUAGGGGAGCAAAC